GGAUGUUGGCUUAGAAGCAGCCAUCAUUUAAAGAAAGCGUAAUAGCUCACUGGUCGAGUCGGCCUGCGCGGAAGAUGUAACGGGGCUAAACCAUGCACCGAAGCUGCGGCAGCGACGCUGAUGCGUUGUUGGGUAGGGGAGCGUUCUGUAAGCCUGUGAAGGUGUGCUGUGAGGCAUGCUGGAGGUAUCAGAAGUGCGAAUGCUGACAUAAGUAACGAUAAAGCGGGUGAAAAGCCCGCUCGCCGGAAGACCAAGGGUUCCUGUCCAACGUUAAUCGGGGCAGGGUGAGUCGACCCCUAAGGCGAGGCCGAAAGGCGUAGUCGAUGGGAAACAGGUUAAUAUUCCUGUACUUGGUGUUACUGCGAAGGGGGGACGGAGAAGGCUAUGUUGGCCGGGCGACGGUUGUCCCGGUUUAAGCGUGUAGGCUGGUUUUCCAGGCAAAUCCGGAAAAUCAAGGCUGAGGCGUGAUGACGAGGCACUACGGUGCUGAAGCAACAAAUGCCCUGCUUCCAGGAAAAGCCUCUAAGCAUCAGGUAACAUCAAAUCGUACCCCAAACCGACACAGGUGGUCAGGUAGAGAAUACCAAGGCGCUUGAGAGAACUCGGGUGAAGGAACUAGGCAAAAUGGUGCCGUAACUUCGGGAGAAGGCACGCUGAUAUGUAGGUGAAGUCCCUCGCGGAUGGAGCUGAAAUCAGUCGAAGAUACCAGCUGGCUGCAACUGUUUAUUAAAAACACAGCACUGUGCAAACACGAAAGUGGACGUAUACGGUGUGACGCCUGCCCGGUGC
This 789-nucleotide ribosomal RNA is filed under the name Escherichia coli. Its description in RNAcentral is "partial 23S ribosomal RNA". It matches the Rfam family "Bacterial large subunit ribosomal RNA", at positions 1096 to 1869 of the family's 2925-position model. Lineage: Bacteria; Pseudomonadati; Pseudomonadota; Gammaproteobacteria; Enterobacterales; Enterobacteriaceae. The record is from RNAcentral.